RNAcentral lists this ribosomal RNA (271 nucleotides) under uncultured Basidiomycota. RNAcentral's name for it is "partial 18S ribosomal RNA". It matches the Rfam family "Eukaryotic small subunit ribosomal RNA", at positions 624 to 900 of the family's 1831-position model. The record is from RNAcentral. Lineage: Eukaryota; Fungi; Basidiomycota.
AAGCUCGUAGUUGAAUUUCGAACGUGGCUGGGCGGUCCGCCUCACGGUGUGUACUGUCUGGCCGUGUUCUCUUUCUUGGUGAGCCAGCAUGCUCUUAACUGGGUGUGUUGGGGAACCAGGACGUUUACCUUGAGAAAAUUAGAGUGUUCAAAGCAGGCCUACGCCCGGAUACAUUAGCAUGGCAUAAUAAAAUAGGACGUGCGGUUCUAUUUUGUUGGUUUCUAGAGUCGCCGUAAUGAUUAAUAGGGAUAGUUGGGUGAGCGGGCGUGGC